AGCGUUGUUCGGAAUCACUGGGCGUAAAGCGCACGUAGGCGGAUGUGUCAGUCAGGGGUGAAAUCCCGGAGCUCAACUUCGGAACUGCCUCUGAUACAGCACGUCUUGAGUCCGGAAGAGGUGGGUGGAAUUCCUAGUGUAGAGGUGAAAUUCGUAGAUAUUAGGAAGAACACCGGUGGCGAAGGCGGCCCACUGGUCUGGUACUGACGCUGAGGUGCGAAAGCGUGGGGAGCAAACAGG
This 240-nucleotide ribosomal RNA is filed under the name uncultured bacterium. Its description in RNAcentral is "partial 16S ribosomal RNA". It matches the Rfam family "Bacterial small subunit ribosomal RNA", at positions 537 to 776 of the family's 1533-position model. The record is from RNAcentral.